AGCUGGAUUUUCAGGGCCUGCUAUUAUCGUGAAAAGUUUCGUCAACAACAUUAUCCUUUAGGUUGGCUUGUCUUGUCUUGAUGGUUCGAAUCGCUGACUAUUGGAAACGUACCGAAGGUGAAAACAAUUGGGUUAGUCAACUUUUUUUUUUUGGACAGCAAUAACCCCUUUUAUUCAUCUUUCAUCGAGAGAGGGAUUAUGCUUGGGGGAGGGGAAUGAAACCAUGAAGAUGGUGGUGUGGAUUUGUGUCCCUUACCCGAAAAAGAAAAAAAACUUUGUGUGUUAGCGUUAUGCCGGGCGGUCGCCGGUCGGACUGUGUAUAUUGUGUACUUGUGUGAUCUGGGUCUCUGACCGCCUAUGGACUGGACCGUGUAAGAUUGGCGAGUAUGAAAAUUGCCGCUCGCCAAGGGAGCUAUCGGUCAGGUCACAGGU
Molecule: long non-coding RNA, 432 nt
Filed under: Brachypodium distachyon (stiff brome)
Lineage: Eukaryota; Viridiplantae; Streptophyta; Magnoliopsida; Poales; Poaceae
Description: long non-coding RNA (BDIS_LNC003235)
Source: RNAcentral